RNAcentral lists this non-coding RNA (26 nucleotides) under Mus musculus (house mouse). The record is from RNAcentral. Lineage: Eukaryota; Metazoa; Chordata; Mammalia; Rodentia; Muridae.
UUCUGGACUAAUAUCAGUGUGUGCAU